This 639-nucleotide ribosomal RNA is filed under the name uncultured bacterium. RNAcentral's name for it is "bacterial SSU rRNA". It matches the Rfam family "Bacterial small subunit ribosomal RNA", at positions 607 to 1244 of the family's 1533-position model. The record is from RNAcentral.
GGUCACCCUGGACAGGUGGUGAAAACUGCUAAGCUUGAGUACGGUAGGGGCAGAUGGAAUUUCCUGUGGAGCGAUGAAAUGCGUAGAUAUCUGAAAGAACACCAACGGCGAAAGCACUCGGCUGGGCCGACACUGACACUGAGAGACGAAAGCUUGGGGAGCGAAUGGGAUUAGAUACCCCGGUAGUCCUUACCGUAAACGAUGGAUGCUAAGUGGCUGUGGGUUUCCACCCUUGCAAGCUUGUACCUAACGCUUUAAGUUUCCCGCCUGGGGAGUACGUUCCCAAGAAUGAAACUCAAAGGAUUUGACGGGGGGCCCGCACAAGCGGGGAACCAUGUGGUUUAAUUCAAUGCAAAGCGAAAAAACCUUACCAGGGCUUGACAUGCAUGAAUCCUCUUGAAAUAAAGGAGUGCCUUCGGGAAUGCGACACACAGUGGUGCAUGGCUGUCCUCAGCUCGUGCCGUGUGAGUGUGUGGGUUAAGUCCCGCAGCGAGCGCAACCCUCGUGUUUAGUUGCCCACGUUUAGUUUGGAACUCUCUAACAGACUGCCGGUGAUAAGCCCGAAAAAGUGAGGAUGACAUCAAGUCAUCAUGCCCCUUAUGCCCCUGCUACACACGUGCUACAAUGGACCGGACAAAC